Molecule: ribosomal RNA, 315 nt
Filed under: Alytes cisternasii (Iberian midwife toad)
Lineage: Eukaryota; Metazoa; Chordata; Amphibia; Anura; Alytidae
Description: partial 16S ribosomal RNA
Source: RNAcentral
AGCUGUAAACCUAGCCCCACCUCAACAACCACCCAGAUCCCCCAACUAAAACAUUUAAAGUCUCCAGUAUAGGCGAUAAAAAAAGAAACAGGCGCAACAGAAUCUAGUACCGCAAGGGAAAAGUGAAAUAGUUAUGAAACAGCCACCAAAGCACCACAAAGCAGAGAUGCCCCCUCGUACCUUUUGCAUCAUGGUCUAGCAAGAAAUCCUAAGCAAAAUGCAUUGAAGUUUAAACCCCCGAAACUAGACGAGCUACCCCGGAGCAGCUAUAAGAGCAAACCCAUCUCUGUGGCAAAAGAGUGGGAGGACUCCCGA